AUGGCGGCGGCGACGGCACGCGCGGGUAUCACGGCGGGGAUUGCCGGCGGUUGCCCAAGGUAGGGGACGACCCUGACGAGGGGGUCCCACGCGUCAGUCGCUCGGGCGCGCGUGCCGACCGGUUCGGAUCGGUCAGUCGGGCGGGACUGGGCCGGUUCGGCCCAAAACGGCCGGGCCGGUUCGGUUUCUACUUUUUUUUUCUUUUAGCCUUUUCUUUUUCUGGUUUUCUUAUUUCUUUCAUAUCUUUUGAUUUUGGACUCCUAAUUGGUCCAAAUAAAUUCCAAAAAAAUUGUAAAAUUAUGUUUUAUCAUGAUUCAACUUUGGGAGUGAUUUCCCCUUAAAAUAAAAUAUCUAAAACUACAUUUUCCCUAUAAAUGUAUUUAGGGCUAUAUAACUAUUUAAAUAAAAUACUUUUUGAACUCCAAAUAAUUAUCCAAAAAUUAUGGAAUAAACCCCUUUUAUACAUAAACCCUAUUGGUUUGAAGGUCCAAAGCUCAAAUGGGUGUAAACCCUAAUGUUUAAUUGGAAUAAAAUCUUUCCAAAGCCUUUUGAGAUUCAAAUUUGAAUUCAAAUAUGCAAUUGUGGCAUGAUGCUCAUGGAUGCAAUGCACAUGUAAAAGUUUGAAAUUUUUGGGAUGUUACAGACAAUCCGGCCAAAUCGGUGUCGGUUCUAAACUUUGAUCUGGAACGUGUCCAUUUGAGGUACUAGGAUGAUCACACCAAACAAAGCUACUAAUCGAAGCGAAACAAGACUAGACCACUUGUACAGACUCGCUAGGUAUGGUCCCUCACUAGGACGGACAAUCUGGCAAAAUCGGAGUCGGUGCUAAACUUUCCUCCGGAAUGGGUCCAUUUGGCGUUAUAAGAUGAGCACACCAAACAAAACCUACUCAUCGAAGCGAAACAAGACGAGACCACUUGUAGGGACUCGCUAGGCACGGUCCCUUCCUAGGACGGACAAUUCAUCCAAAUCGUAGUCGGUGCCAAACUCUGAUCCGGAACGUGUCAAUUUGACGUACUAGGAUGAGCACCCCAAACAAAUCUACUCAAUCAAGCGAAACAAGACUAGGCCACUUGUACGGACUCGCUAGGUAUGGUCCCUCACUAGGACGGACAAUCCAGCCAAAUCGGUGUCAGUGCUAAACUUUGAUCUUGAACGUGUCCAUU
RNAcentral lists this long non-coding RNA (1166 nucleotides) under Brachypodium distachyon (stiff brome). RNAcentral describes it as "long non-coding RNA (BDIS_LNC004792)". Lineage: Eukaryota; Viridiplantae; Streptophyta; Magnoliopsida; Poales; Poaceae. The record is from RNAcentral.